UAAUAAGUGUUUUUAUGGCACUUUUUAAAUCCAUAUCCACCUUGUGUGCAAUGUCGGUCGAUCUUCUUUUUUUGAGGAUCGACCAAACAUCAACCUUUAUUUUUUAACUCUUUGUCUGAAAAAUACUAUGAAUAAACAAUUCAAAAUA
RNAcentral lists this unclassified non-coding RNA (148 nucleotides) under soil metagenome. RNAcentral's name for it is "partial internal transcribed spacer 1". The record is from RNAcentral.